Molecule: transfer RNA, 67 nt
Filed under: Novofoudrasia regularis
Lineage: Eukaryota; Metazoa; Arthropoda; Insecta; Coleoptera; Chrysomelidae
Description: tRNA-Ser
Source: RNAcentral
AGUUAAUGAACUUGAAUAAGUAUAUAUUUUGAAAAUAUAAAAAAGAAAUUACAUUUUCUAUUAACUU